Molecule: long non-coding RNA, 1982 nt
Filed under: Piliocolobus tephrosceles (Ugandan red Colobus)
Lineage: Eukaryota; Metazoa; Chordata; Mammalia; Primates; Cercopithecidae
Description: lncRNA (ENSPTEG00000005235.1)
Source: RNAcentral
CCUCCCUAUUUUUUUCCUUGUCCCACUUAGGAGCUACCACAGAAAGCCAAAUAGGCUCGACUGAGCAACCACCUAGGACGAAUCGCCGCCUCCAGUGAGCGUGCUUCCAGCUUCCACUCGGAAUGCUCCAAGUGGGCACACCCGGGGCUUUGUUUCUGUCACUAGGACGCGUCCCCAAGCCCAGGCUGUCCCCGAGUCCCUGCCACAGGCGCAGAUGGUGGCGGGCGCCCUUGCCCCUGGGCUCCCGGUUAACGGCCUCGGACCGUUCUCAUGGUGCAGUCUUCGUCUCUCUCCCCAGCAGGCCAAGGCACCGGGAAGGCCCCUGAGGAGAUGACAGCGCCGAGCCCCAUCAGGCGCUAGUCCCGCCCUGGACGCCGGGCGCCGCCUCCACAGUCUCGGCUUCCGUUGCUGGAUGGGAACCAGCGUGGCCCGUUCAAGGCGAAGGGCACAGGCGCGCCAAGGAGCAGAGCCGCGGGAAGCAGCUCCCUAAGCCACAAUGCUAGUCGCGAACACAGGAAAAAGCUCGUCUCGCCGCCGCGGGACCCCAAGCUCCCGCCGGCAGAAUAUGCCUGUGGGAGCAACGGCCGCGGCGCGGAAUUCUGGGAGUUGCUCGUUGCGCGGCGCGCGGGCACGUCCGCCGGCCACCGGAAGCAGCGCCAUUGCCCGGUGCGUGCAGGUGGCAGCCAAGAGCCUCCUGAUACAGUGGCACCAGGUGGCGCCUAUUGGACCCCAGAGGUCAUCCCAGCUCCAGCCGUGGACACAUUUUCUUCCAAUGGAGGGAUGCCAAAAGACAGGAAGGAGUGGAGGAAGACUGUGUUUCAGUUUCCAGCGUGCAGCCAGGAUAGAAGUCACAGUGCAAGCAAGUUUGGAAUUCCUGGUCAGUCUCUGCAUGGGAGUUGAGGAGCAUGUGGGUGACAUCGCUGAAUGUGGAGGAGGGAAUGGCAGUGGCAGGAAGUCCAGGACGUUUGGGCUGGACAUGUAACCUGGAGCAGAUUGGAAAUGUCACCCCGCAAGCAGGGAAGGAGAAAACUGGAAAUGGAAAGAGAAAGCAACUCCCUUCCCAGCCCUGAAGCCAGAGGGACUUCUGCCAGUUCAUCCCCCACACAGGUCCAGUAUGAGGAACAGAGGGAGAAUUUUAUGUCCAAGUAUAAUCACUAUGAAUACAUCUGUUGUGCCCCUUUUGCAGGUCAGCACAAUGUUAAGCUCUGUAAAUGCAACUCAGUUCUUUCAGCAUCCUCACAAGGCAGGGCUUGCUGUCUUUCCAGAUGUCUACAGAUGAGGGAACUGAGGCCUGGAGAGGUUAAAGAGGCCCAUUCAGAGUCCUACAGCAGCAGGUAAUGGAGGCAGUACUUUGAAAGCAGGUUGCAAAGUGAGUGUUCUUAGCCCUUGCCCUUGGAUGCCUCCAGACAAGGAAGGACAGGGUUAGAGAGCAGAAAUGGACACAGGCAGUGAGAGAUUCCCCAGGGAAGGCCAGAAGCAUCAGGACAGGAUAGUAUCACAUAGGAUAUUGGGCCGACCUCUUGGGUGUGGUCUACAUUUGUGUUUGUGUGUGUGUUCAGGAAUGAAAGAGCAGAGCAGGGAUGGGCAAGAUAAGGAGGGGGAAACUGUGAGUGUUGGUCACUCUGUUCAGGCCUCAGCUGAGAGGAGAAGAGGCAUGGGGGUGGGGCACUGGGCUAUGGAUUCAUCUUGACCAGAGAGAAGACAUCUGACCUCAGAAUUUGAAGGGAGCUACUGAGUGCAGGCUUGCAGGAGUCGGUGUGCCAGGAAGUUGAAAGAGUCCAGAGUCAUCCCUUGAAGUGAAUUAAAAGGCUGAUUUGUCUGCAAAGAGAGGACAGUGGUGGAAGGGGGCUGAAGUAGGGAGUGAGAGCAUGAGCUUGCAGCUGUAGGGGGAUGGUGACUGAGCGGAUACUGGUGUUCCUGAACUCCUAUACCACCCAGGACUCAGAAACUAGCAGGGUUGGGCAGAGAGGGCAGUCAAGGGC